RNAcentral lists this ribosomal RNA (362 nucleotides) under Salmonella enterica. RNAcentral describes it as "partial 23S ribosomal RNA". It matches the Rfam family "Bacterial large subunit ribosomal RNA", at positions 830 to 1190 of the family's 2925-position model. The record is from RNAcentral. Lineage: Bacteria; Pseudomonadati; Pseudomonadota; Gammaproteobacteria; Enterobacterales; Enterobacteriaceae. RNAcentral also lists the same sequence under 14 other names.
CAAUCAAACCGGGAGAUAGCUGGUUCUCCCCGAAAGCUAUUUAGGUAGCGCCUCGUGAAUUCAUCUCCGGGGGUAGAGCACUGUUUCGGCUAGGGGGCCAUCCCGGCUUACCAACCCGAUGCAAACUGCGAAUACCGGAGAAUGUUAUCACGGGAGACACACGGCGGGUGCUAACGUCCGUCGUGAAGAGGGAAACAACCCAGACCGCCAGCUAAGGUCCCAAAGUCAUGGUUAAGUGGGAAACGAUGUGGGAAGGCCCAGACAGCCAGGAUGUUGGCUUAGAAGCAGCCAUCAUUUAAAGAAAGCGUAAUAGCUCACUGGUCGAGUCGGCCUGCGCGGAAGAUGUAACGGGGCUAAACCAU